This 601-nucleotide ribosomal RNA is filed under the name fungal sp. AM2013. RNAcentral describes it as "eukaryotic LSU rRNA". The stretch from base 179 to 332 matches the Rfam family "5.8S ribosomal RNA". Lineage: Eukaryota; Fungi. The record is from RNAcentral.
GGGGUCCUUUGGGCCCACCUCCCAUCCGUGUCUAUUGUACCCUGUUGCUUCGGCGGGCCCGCCGCUUGUCGGCCGCCGGGGGGGCGCCUCUGCCCCCCGGGCCCGUGCCCGCCGGAGACCCCAACACGAACACUGUCUGAAAGCGUGCAGUCUGAGUUGAUUGAAUGCAAUCAGUUAAAACUUUCAACAAUGGAUCUCUUGGUUCCGGCAUCGAUGAAGAACGCAGCGAAAUGCGAUAACUAAUGUGAAUUGCAGAAUUCAGUGAAUCAUCGAGUCUUUGAACGCACAUUGCGCCCCCUGGUAUUCCGGGGGGCAUGCCUGUCCGAGCGUCAUUGCUGCCCUCAAGCCCGGCUUGUGUGUUGGGUCGCCGUCCCCCUCUCCGGGGGGACGGGCCCGAAAGGCAGCGGCGGCACCGCGUCCGAUCCUCGAGCGUAUGGGGCUUUGUCACAUGCUCUGUAGGAUUGGCCGGCGCCUGCCGACGUUUUCCAACCAUUCUUUCCAGGUUGACCUCGGAUCAGGUAGGGAUACCCGCUGAACUUAAGCAUAUCAAUAGCCGGAGGAAUCAUUACCGAGUGCGGGUCCUUUGGGCCCAACCUCCAUC